AUUGAACGCUGGCGGAAUGCUUUACACAUGCAAGUCGAACGGCAGCACGGGGGCAUCCCUGGUGGCGCGUGGCGAACGGGUGAGUAAUACACCCGAACGUGCCCUGCCGUGGGGGCUAACGUAGCGAAAGUUACGCUGAUACCGCACCCGAUCUGAUGAUGAACGCGGGGGACCUUCGGUCCUCGCGCGAUCGGAGCGGCCGGUGUCAGAUUAGGUAGUUGGUGGGGUAAAGGCCUACCAAGCCGACGAUCUGUAGCUGGUCUGAGAGGACGACCAGCCACACUGGGACUGAGACACGGCCCAGACUCCUACGGGAGGCAGCAGUGGGGAAUUUUGGACAAUGGGCGCAAGCCUGAUGCAGCAAUUCCGCGUGAAGGACGAAGGCCUUCGGGUUGUAAAAUGCUUUUGUAAGGAAAGAAAAGGCUCUGACUAAUACCUGGGGCUCAUGACGGUACCGAAAGAAUAAGCACCGGCUAACUACGUG
RNAcentral lists this ribosomal RNA (484 nucleotides) under uncultured bacterium. Its description in RNAcentral is "partial 16S ribosomal RNA". It matches the Rfam family "Bacterial small subunit ribosomal RNA", at positions 30 to 507 of the family's 1533-position model. The record is from RNAcentral.